RNAcentral lists this ribosomal RNA (253 nucleotides) under uncultured bacterium. RNAcentral describes it as "partial 16S ribosomal RNA". It matches the Rfam family "Bacterial small subunit ribosomal RNA", at positions 524 to 776 of the family's 1533-position model. The record is from RNAcentral.
UACAGAGGGUGCGAGCGUUAAUCGGAAUUACUGGGCGUAAAGCGUGCGUAGACGGUUAUUUAAGUCGGGUGUGAAAGCCCCGGACUCAAUCCGGGAAGUGCAUUGGAUACUGCUAAGCUAGAGUACAGGAGAGGUGAACGGAAUUCCUGGUGUAGAGGUGAAAUUCGUAGAUAUCAGGAGGAACAACAGAGGCGAAGGCGGUUCACUGGACUGUCACUGACGCUGAGGCGCGAAAGCGUGGGGAGCAAACAGG